RNAcentral lists this ribosomal RNA (371 nucleotides) under uncultured organism. Its description in RNAcentral is "bacterial SSU rRNA". It matches the Rfam family "Bacterial small subunit ribosomal RNA", at positions 526 to 896 of the family's 1533-position model. The record is from RNAcentral.
CAGAGGGUGCAAGCGUUAAUCGGAUUUACUGGGCGUAAAGCGUGUGUAGGUGGUUGGGAAAGUCAAUUGUGAAAGCCCCGGGCUUAACUCGGGAACUGCUUUUGAUACUGUCUGACUAGAAUUCGGUAGAGGGAGGCGGAACUCCAGGUGUAGCGGUGAAAUGCGUAGAUAUCUGGAAGAACACCAAUGGCGAAGGCAACCUCCUGGGCCUGAAUUGACACUGAGACACGAAAGCGUGGGGAUCAAACAGGAUUAGAUACCCUGGUAGUCCACGCCGUAAACGAUGACAACUUGACGUCGGUUUGCUCUGCGAAUCGGUGUCGUAGCUAGCGCGAUAAGUUGUCCGCCUGGGGAGUACGGCCGCAAGGUUG